This 320-nucleotide ribosomal RNA is filed under the name uncultured Prevotella sp. RNAcentral's name for it is "bacterial SSU rRNA". It matches the Rfam family "Bacterial small subunit ribosomal RNA", at positions 28 to 339 of the family's 1533-position model. Lineage: Bacteria; Pseudomonadati; Bacteroidota; Bacteroidia; Bacteroidales; Prevotellaceae. The record is from RNAcentral.
GAUGGACGCUAGCUACAGGCUUAACACAUGCAAGUCGAGGGGCAGCAUGUCGGUUGCUUGCAACCGAUGAUGGCGACCGGCGCACGGGUGAGUAACGCGUAUCCAACCUUCCCCGUAGUAGGGCACAGCCCGGCGAAAGUCGGAUUAAUUCCCUAUGUUCUUGACAGCAGACAUCUAACGUCAAGCAAAGAUUGAUCGCUAUGGGAUGGGGAUGCGUCUGAUUAGGUUGUCGGCGGGGUAACGGCCCACCGAGCCCGCGAUCAGUAGGGGUUCUGAGAGGAAGGUCCCCCACAUUGGAACUGAGACACGGUCCAAACUCC